Molecule: ribosomal RNA, 402 nt
Filed under: uncultured prokaryote
Description: bacterial SSU rRNA
Rfam family: Bacterial small subunit ribosomal RNA
Source: RNAcentral
UAGGGAAUAUUAGAAAUGGACGAAAGUCUGAUCUAGCAACACCGCGUGGACGAAGAAGGCCUUCGGGUUGUAAAGUUCUUUUAUAUGGGAUGAGGAAGGACAGCACCAUAUGAAUAAGUCCCGGCUAACUACGUGCCAGCAGCCGCGGUAAAACGUAGGAGACGAGCGUUAUCCGGAUUUACUGGGCGUAAAGAGCGUGUAGGAGGCAAUACAAGUUGGAUGUAAAAGCUCUCGGCUAAACUGAGAGAGGACGUUCAAGACUGUAGAGCUAGAGGAAGGCAGAGGUAGAUGGAACUCCGGGAGUAGUGGUGAAAUGCGUAGAUAUCCGGAAGAACACCAGAGGCGAAAGCGAUCUACUGGGCCUUAACAGACACUGAGACGCGAAAGCCAGGGUAGCAAACG